This is a microRNA precursor of Ananas comosus (pineapple), 125 nucleotides long. Lineage: Eukaryota; Viridiplantae; Streptophyta; Magnoliopsida; Poales; Bromeliaceae. The record is from Rfam.
AGGAUAAGAGCCACUUAGGCUAGCCAAGGAGACUGCCUAUGGAACCACAUGUAGCCUUAGUUGGCAAAAGCUUCAAAGAGGUUGCAGGCAAGUCAUCCUUGGCUAUCAAAGAUAAACUCUUAUCA